CCUACGGGAGGCAGCAGUGAGGAAUAUUGGUCAUUGGACGCAAGUCUGAACCAGCCAUGCCGCGUGCAGGAAGACGGCUCUAUGAGUUGUAAACUGCUUUUGUACGAGGGUAAACGCAGAUACGCGUAUCUGUCUGCAAGUAUCUUACGAAUAAGGAUCGGCUAACUCCGUUCCAGCAGCCGCGGUAAUACGGAGGAUUCAAGCGUUAUCCGAAUUUAUUGGGUUUAAAGGGUGCGUAGGCGGUCGGAUAAGUUAGAGGUGAAAUCCCGAGGCUCAACUUCGGAAUUGCCUCUGAUACUUUUCGGCUAGAGAGUAGUUGCGGUAGGCGGAAUGUAUGGUGUAGCGGUGAAAUGCUUAGAGAUCAUACAGAACACCGAUUGCGAAGGCAGCUUACCAAGCUACUUCUGACGUUGAGGCACGAAAGCGUGGGGAGCAAACAGGAUUAGAUACCCCUGUAGUC
RNAcentral lists this ribosomal RNA (460 nucleotides) under uncultured bacterium. RNAcentral describes it as "partial 16S ribosomal RNA". It matches the Rfam family "Bacterial small subunit ribosomal RNA", at positions 338 to 795 of the family's 1533-position model. The record is from RNAcentral.